CCCCUCCCUUCCGAGGGGAGCGUGCGAUCAUAUCUUCUCCGAACGAGUGCCUACUUAUCUGCAAAUGACCAACGCGAUCAAGGCCGGGCCAUGGGGUGAGAAUGGAGGGAGUACAUGGGAUACUUCGGAAACUCAAGGCAUCACCCGCAUCAAGAUUUACUAUGGAGAUGGCAUAUACGGGUUGGACAUUACCUUCGUCAUAGAUGGCAAACGCCAAACCCUAAGUGUUGGAAGCACAGGAGGAAAUGUAUGGAACGAGAUCAUUCUCAAGGAAAAAGAGUACUUCAACGACAUCUCAGUCUCUUACGGUGCACUGUGUGUGUGUCCGGGAAGUGGUCAUGCCAUAAAACAACUUACUAUUGGCACCAACAAGGGCACACGUGUUACUGUUGGCACGACGAAAGAGGCAGACUUUAGCUUCCCGCCUCCACCACUACAUCCUUCACCUCCUCACAAGAUCGUGGGAUUUUUUGGACGUGCAAGCACAGCUAUCGACGCAAUUGGAACUUACUACAAGGAGAUAAACUUAGGGUAAAAUCUAGUCCAUGAAUGUUCCCAUGCAGAAGGGAUAUUGCUGCUACAUGAAUGCUCUAGUAAAUAAGUAGCGGCAGCUGAUGUUCGUCUCCUUGUGAUCAUCGUCAUCGUCGUUGUACUCGUCGCUUAAUGUAUCUUUGAAUAAAUUAUGAUGUGUUUGUGGGUCCUCUUUGAUA
This is a long non-coding RNA of Musa acuminata AAA Group (dessert banana), 710 nucleotides long. RefSeq lists it as uncharacterized. The transcript has 3 exons. The record is from RefSeq and is a predicted model, not a curated record. NCBI's taxonomy places the organism in Eukaryota, Viridiplantae, Streptophyta, Magnoliopsida, Zingiberales, Musaceae.